Long non-coding RNA from Equus quagga, 4661 nucleotides. RefSeq lists it as uncharacterized. The record is from RefSeq and is a predicted model, not a curated record. The transcript is spliced from 4 exons. NCBI's taxonomy places the organism in Eukaryota, Metazoa, Chordata, Mammalia, Perissodactyla, Equidae.
UCAGACUCCACCCCGCCUCGCCCCGGCUCGACGUUCACAGCCGGGGACUGGGUGACGUCAAGGCCCCGCCCGAGCAGACCCGGAAGCAGAAUCCCCAGCCCGCCGACGCUGGCGUCGCUGCUCCGGCCCCGCCGCCAGAGGGCGCGAGAGUCGCCUAUGUUGGCUCUCACCUCCGUCGUUACGUCGGCAGGCCGGUCCCGGAAAUGGAGGGGUCUGCCGUACAAGAUGGCUGCUCCCUCUGUGGUGGUAAGGAACGCUGAGAGGCUUUCCUGGUUCAGGGAAGCGCGGUUACCUGAGCGCAGUGAUCGCAGCGCAAGCUUCUCGUAAAAGAUAGCUGCCAGGGAGUCUCCAGGUGUCUUUCUUGACGGGGUAGCUGGCCAAAGAGUCUACCUACAGACUCAGCAAGGAAGACAACUAUGUUUACAGAACAAAACGGGGAAGGCAGCUGCCAUGUCAUGAGGACCCUCAAACAGCCCUCUGGAGAGGCCCAGAUGGAGAGAAACUAAUAUGUCAGCACCAAUUUGCCAGCCAUGUGAGCGAGCCACCUUGGAAGCAGGUUCUCCAGCCCCGGGCAUGGCUUCAGAUGAUUCUAGCUGCCAGCCUUUGAGUCUUUCAGCUGAGCCCCAGACAUCAUGGAGUAGAGAUAAAGCAUGCAAGCUAUGUCCGUCUAAACUUGUGGUCCACAGAAAUCAUGAAAUAAUACAUGACUCUAGGCUUAUAGCACUAAGCUUUGGGGCAUUUUGUUUUGCAGUUAUAGAUAGCUAAUACAGUAGCUCAACCCUGAUGCCCUUCUGGACCAACCUCUUGACUCUGGGAAACUGAAACUCCUGCACAUUAGCCUCACCCAAGCAGGUUUGCAGGCAGCUCCCCUGCAGCCUCUUCUUGUCCUUAUGUCCCUCUCCUUUCCCUGUGCAGGGAGCAGAGGGUAGGAUCAACGCACCUGCUCCCUAAUCCGAGGUUUCAGUGGGAAAUGAGAUGCUCAUCAAUCCUGCUUGUAGUUCCCACCCCAGCUUUAAGAGUAAGUCUCAUAGAGCCCCCGUCACCUUGGCAAUGGUGGGGAAAAAAACACUCCCCAUUGGACGUGUGACUACAUGGAUUCCUUCUCUCACCUCUUCCCACACUUUUGCUCGUAAGGGAGCGGGAGGGGAGGAUGAGUGAUUGUGGUAAGGCCAGUCCUGCCACUUCUCUGUACAUUCCUGAGGCGGGGCCUGUUCUUGGCCCAAUCUUAGCAGAUGUUCUUAAUCAUUCUAAAAUGUGAGGUCCUCAAUGCUCUUUGUCCUCAGUUUUGGAUCUUGAUUGUCAAUACUAUACCAGGAAAACAGGCAAAGGCCCCGUCAACAUAGGGAUCAAAGGCAUUCACGACCUACCAUGACAUGGUCUUUCUGCUCGAGUUUCUGUACUGCUUCUGCUUCCUUCUCUCCAACUCUGUUCUCUAGGAACACUGAACCAUCAGCAGUUUCUGGAAUGAGUUAUGACAUGCUCUCUCUUUUCUCCAAACGUUUGCACAUAGUCGUCCCUCUGCUGGCAGUAAUCUUCCUCUUCCUUUGCUCAGCAGAUUUUUACUCAUCUUGCAUGAGUUACCUCAGCACUGCCUCCUCUGGGAAGCCCUCCUUGACUACUCUGUCUCCCAAGCUACAUCAGGUGCCUCUCCUGCGCCACCCUAACUCCUUUGUUUCUUUUAUCUAGCAUUUAUCAUGCUGUAUUUGUGGCAGAGGAAGAAAGCUGUCCACCAAAGUUCAUUUCCCUCUUCCAUAGCAUACAGCUGUUGCUAGAAGGCAGCUGCCUAACCCAGUGCCCCGUUUCCCAUCUCCUUUUGCAUCUAGGUGUGCAGUAUGACUAGCUCUUGCCAAAGCAAUGUGAGCGGAAGUGACAUGUCUCUACAAAGUUCUUCCCCUGCUACCAGCUGUAUUUAGACAAUGACAAGACCUUUGGGAAUGGUGCUGCCACAAGGUGGAAAGAGCCCGGUAUCCCAGGCUGUCAGCGGGGGAGAAAUUGUGAUCUUCAUUCCACAGAAGAGGAAACUGAGCCUGAGUUUUCAUCAGGUCUCUUUUGGAUGCAAGUGACAAAAAUCUAACUUGAACUGCCUUGUCUUAGCUUGGCUCCCUAGAAAACAGAGGCUGAGACCAGGCUUAACAUGCUGCCGCUUUAUUGUGGAGGUCAAUGCCUGGGCAGCAAGAGUGAAAGAAAAGGAGAAGUGAGGAAAGGACAGAGGGGAGAAGGGAAAACAAAUAUAAGGUAGUGUGUUAUCAGAGUGGCCACAGAGUCAGCAAACCCAGAUGCUUCCUGGGUCUCAUACAGGGCUGCCAGCUCAAUACAGGACACCCAGUUAAAACUGAAUUCCAGAUAAAGACAGUGUUUAGUAGGAGUAUUUUUACUUGCUGAUUCUGACAACUUUAGUCCCAUGAGAUGUCUCUAGGGCAGCCAUGUGGAACAGUCCAUGGGGGAAAGGGAAAAGCUCCUUCCCAAAUCCCGAGUCCCCUUGGCCACCGUUUACCCCUGAGGAUGUUUACUCUCCCCCAUUUCUCGGCCCUAUUCCCUGACUCUUCUGGGUAGUCACUAAGAGAGUCAAAGCCUCCUCUGUGAGUCCAGUCAGGUAGGCCCUGGGCCCUGAAGCUGUUGCAACUCCUGCUGAGACUAGCCCCUGGGUGAGGCUGUGACUUUCCCUUAAGCAACUGGUGAAGGCUGGAGGGUGAGGUGAAGAUGGGGGUGGGACUGGGGGAGGGGCGUGGACUCAGGCAUCGCUGGAUACAAGGACCCACAUUUUAUCACUAAGACAUGUCCCUCACCAUCUCUGUUUUCCUCUGUUUUUACUUUAGCUUUGCUCUGGGUGACAAGAAGUCCCCCAGCAACUCUAGAGAUGUCUUAUUCUCUCUCCAUAGAGAAAAAAGUCUUCUUCCAACAGAUCUGCCUCCUCAUACCCGCUAAAAGACCCAGACUUGAGAGUUAUCAGCCCUGAUUGCCUGGAGCUGGUCAAGUGCCCAUCCCUGAAAGGGACAUUGUGGGCAGAAGGCUGCAACGCAGCUUUGUGUUCAGGAGGGCUCUGGAAAGCAGCCUGUGGCUAGAGUUGUGGGAAGAGGAAAAGGAUCUAGUGUGAUGUGUGGUUCCCUUUUGUGGGUGCCCCCCCAGCCACACACACACACACACCUGGGACCUCCUGGAGCACAGGGACUGGCUGGUUAAUCUCUGUGUCCCUAGGGUUGUCCUGGAAAUUGAGGACUGAUUACUUUUGAAUGAAUGAAUGAAUGAAUGAACCUUUGUUUCUUUUACCACAUCUAGCAUAAAAGUGCCUAAAGCCACCACCUAAGAUUUGUCUCACCUACUUACUGACAUGUAACUUCAGUCAUUCCCCUAGAUGUGAUGGAGCGCUUUGUAAAUCACUUUCACAUCUGAUUCCCACAAUAACUCAGAAAACUGGGGUUAUUUACACCACUUUAGGAUGAGGAAAUUGCAGCCCAGAAGUGAGUUGCUCAAAGGCACAGGGGCUCCGGCUGGGUGCAAGAGGUCAGGGGAAGUACCAAGAAGGGAAGACUAGAGUGGGCAUGGAGGGACAGACAGCCAGUGACUCCUGGAUUAAUAAAAACUGCUGAGGGAGGAACCCUCGGGCAAAACUGGCUAUGUUUAAACAGCAAGCCCCAGAGAACUUCAUAAAUCAUGCAGAGCUGUGUCAAAGAGAAUAAUUAAACAUUUUACUCUGCUUUAAAUUGUUCAAUCAUGUGGGGAGAUUUGUCAAUGUCCUAUGGGGUGCUGGGGACAUCGAGGUAGAUCAGAGCAGGUACUGGUCCUUGAGGGGCCCCCCAGUCUAGGAAAGAAACAGAUGAAUAAGCAGACAUAAAGCAAGCAGUGUCUUGGGGCUGUGCAGGGUCCUCCCAGGAUUAUAGGGGUCACCGUGGGAACAGGAGAAGAGAGGGUGUGGCCAGGAAAGCACUGUAGUGCUAGUGACUUGUGAAGGGAGACACAUCUCACCUUGGACACGCACACAUUCUCUGCUUAGAGCCUUCCAGGGCUUCUCAUCACAUGUGGUAUAUAUUUCAAAGGCCUCACCAUCACCUUUGAGACCCCAUACAGCAGUCAUAUUGUUUACCCUCUGAAAAGGGCACUAGGCACUGGGAUAGCUCAUGCAUGAUGCCACUGGUUUGCUGAUCUUGUUGGCUUGGGGCAGCACCCAGACACACAUCUCCUCCAACUGCCACUGGAUCUCCUCCUUCAGCUUCUCUGAAUCCUGGGCCAAGCAUGUGUGUAGCUCUGUGGUGAAGGCACCAGGUUCUGUGCUGCUGGUCACCCAUGCAUGGCACUGAAGUUGCAGGUGAUGGGAGAUAGACAUGGGUUCCAAUUGGUCCUCACGGGUUCUAGUUAUCCUCAUGGGGUCCAGUGUGUCAUUGUUCUUAUCCACAUCCAUCUUUUCUUCCUGACUGCUGGUCUGGCUGACCUGUAGUGACAGAUGUUGGUCUCAAUGCUGGACACAGAAGCAACAGCCUGCACAGACUUUCUACCAACUCCGACAAUUGUGUAAAGUCUAACCCCUACCAUUAAUUUCUUAUUCUAACUUCUCUGAUUAAAUCUUAACUGAUAUACUAGAUAACUACAUUUUUUGUUUGCUGAAGUAUGUUCUUAUUCCACCCUCACUUUUUUUUUCGAAAAAGGGAACAUGUGGUAUAUAGUUU